RNAcentral lists this ribosomal RNA (426 nucleotides) under uncultured Comamonadaceae bacterium. RNAcentral describes it as "bacterial SSU rRNA". It matches the Rfam family "Bacterial small subunit ribosomal RNA", at positions 356 to 774 of the family's 1533-position model. Lineage: Bacteria; Pseudomonadati; Pseudomonadota; Betaproteobacteria; Burkholderiales; Comamonadaceae. The record is from RNAcentral.
GGGGAAUUUUGGACAAGGGGCGCAAGCCUGAUCCAGCAAUGCCGCGUGCAGGAUGAGGGCCUUCGGGUUGUAAACUGCUUUUGCACGGAACGAAAAGCCUCUCUCUAAUACAGGGGGGUGAUGCCGGUACCGUAAGAAUAAGCACCGGCUAACUAAGUACCAGAAGCCGCGGUAAUACGUAGGGUGCAAGCGUUAAUCGGAAUUACUGGGCGUAAAGCGUGCGCAGGCGGUUUUGUAAGACAGUGGUGAAAUCCCCGGGCUCAACCUGGGAACUGCUAUUGUGACUGCAAGGCUGGAGUGCGGCAGAGGGGGAUGGAAUUCCGCGUGUAGCAGUGAAAUGCGUAGAUAUGCGGAGGAACACCGAUGGCGAAGGCAAUCUCCUGGGCCUGCACUGACGCUCAUGCACGAAAGCGUGGGGAGCAAACA